This 777-nucleotide long non-coding RNA is filed under the name Homo sapiens (human). RNAcentral describes it as "HSALNT0038115". The record is from RNAcentral. Lineage: Eukaryota; Metazoa; Chordata; Mammalia; Primates; Hominidae.
UAUUACUUGCCCUGCUGCUUCUGACAAACUAUUUGUAGGAAAAUGAGAUUUGGUCCGCGCUGGAUGGCUCCUCUGGGAGGCAGGCGUGGGGGUCGGGUGUCGGAGGCCCCGUGCGCCCCCCCACCCCCCACCAGAGCCCACGGCGCUCACGGAGCUCUUUAAGAUAAAUGAGCAAAAUUAAGAGACUCACUGGGGGAAGAAAACACUGGAUGGGAGCGAGCGAGAGCGGAUGGUACUUGGUUUCCUCCCAGAAAUGCAUCCACGUGCGCCCCACUGGGGCCUCCCCCAUCUGCUGCAGACUCCAGGGAACUUCCUCCCCUCAAAGACGAACUUCCAGCCCUGGAGCAUGUUUCUUCCUUUCCUGGGAUGUGGCGCUGAAAAGGGCAGAAACCUCUAGUAAGGCACAAGCAACAGAUUGGGGGUGGAGCAGCAGGUCUCUUUGGAGGUGGCCUGGAAGAAACCGGACAGAGAGGAUGGGAAGGGGAGAAACAGAAGAGUGUGACGAGAUCAUGAAGGAAAGAGGAGGCGUCUACUGAAUGUAAGGUAGAGCCAAAGGCAUCUAUUGAUGACUGAAGAAGAGGCAUGAAUAUGACAAAAACAGGAAGCAUCUGUUUCCACCAGUCACCAGCAAGCGGAGGAUCGUAUAAGGACACCCUUCAGUGUCAGUGUGCUUCAUUAUGCUUUUGGAUGUGUGCGAGUCAGAGCCAGAUUCCUGACUAAAUGGAGGGAUGCAAUGAGAAAUUCAUAAUAAGAAAUUAUUUUGUUGUCAUCUAUCAU